CCCUUAGAUGUUCUGGGCCGCACGCGUGCUACACUGAGCGGGCCAACGGGUGAGGAUGUGCGAAAGCGCUUCCCAAUCUCUAAAUCCGCUCGUGCUGGGGAUCGAGGCUUGCAAUUAUCCCUCUUGAACGAGGAAUACCUUGUAAGCACGGGUCAUCAUCCCGUGCUGAAUACGUCCCUGCCCUUUGUACACACCGCCCGUCGCUCCUACCGAUUGGAUGGUCCGGUGAAGCCUCGGGAUUGUGGUUCUUGCCGCUUUAUUGUGGCGUGACCGCGAGAACUUGUCUAAACCUUAUCAUCUAGAGGAAGGUGAAGUCGUAACA
This 322-nucleotide ribosomal RNA is filed under the name uncultured eukaryote. Its description in RNAcentral is "partial 18S ribosomal RNA". It matches the Rfam family "Eukaryotic small subunit ribosomal RNA", at positions 1470 to 1796 of the family's 1831-position model. The record is from RNAcentral.